This 253-nucleotide ribosomal RNA is filed under the name uncultured bacterium. RNAcentral's name for it is "partial 16S ribosomal RNA". It matches the Rfam family "Bacterial small subunit ribosomal RNA", at positions 524 to 776 of the family's 1533-position model. The record is from RNAcentral.
UACGGAGGAUGCAAGCGUUAUCCGGAAUGAUUGGGCGUAAAGCGUCCGCAGGUGGCUGUGUAAGUCUGCUGUUAAAGAGUGAGGCUCAACCUCAUAAAGGCAGUGGAAACUACGCGGCUAGAGUGCGUUCGGGGCAGAGGGAAUUCCUGGUGUAGCGGUGAAAUGCGCAGAUAUCAGGAGGAACACCGGUGGCGAAGGCGGCAUUCUGGACCGACAUUGACGCUGAGGAGCGAAAGCCAGGGGAGCAAACGGG